GAGUUUGAUCCUGGCUCAGAUUGAACGCUGGCGGCAGGCCUAACACAUGCAAGUCGAGCGGAUGACGGGAGCUUGCUCCUUGAUUCAGCGGCGGACGGGUGAGUAAUGCCUAGGAAUCUGCCUGGUAGUGGGGGACAACGUUUCGAAAGGAACGCUAAUACCGCAUACGUCCUACGGGAGAAAGCAGGGGACCUUCGGGCCUUGCGCUAUCAGAUGAGCCUAGGUCGGAUUAGCUAGUUGGUGGGGUAAUGGCUCACCAAGGCGACGAUCCGUAACAGGUCUGAGAGGAUGAUCUGCCACACUGGAACUGAGACACGGUCCAGACUCCUACGGGAGGCAGCAGUGGGGAAUUUUGGACAAUGGGGGCAACCCUGAUCCAGCCAUGCCGCGUGAGUGAAGAAGGCCUCGGUUGUAAGACUCUUCGUCGAGGGAAGAAAGUU
This 440-nucleotide ribosomal RNA is filed under the name bacterium enrichment culture clone ALO1_GLFRUDD03G90U0. RNAcentral's name for it is "bacterial SSU rRNA". It matches the Rfam family "Bacterial small subunit ribosomal RNA", at positions 9 to 453 of the family's 1533-position model. The record is from RNAcentral.